RNAcentral lists this ribosomal RNA (443 nucleotides) under uncultured bacterium. Its description in RNAcentral is "partial 16S ribosomal RNA". It matches the Rfam family "Bacterial small subunit ribosomal RNA", at positions 338 to 795 of the family's 1533-position model. The record is from RNAcentral.
CCUACGGGAGGCAGCAGUGGGGAAUAUUGGACAAUGGGGGCAACCCUGAUCCAGCGACGCCGCGUGCGUGAAGACGUAUCUCGGUAUGUAAAGCUCCAUCUGCACGGGAGUAAGAAAUGACGGUACCUGACUAAUAAGCCUCGGCUAACUACGGGCCAGGAGACGCGGUAAUCCGUAGGGUGCAAGCGUUAUCCGGAUUUACUGGGUGUAAAGGGAGCGUAGGCGGCGAGGCAAGUCUGCAGUGAAAGGCGGGGGCCCAACCCCUGGACUGCUUUGGAAACUGUAUGGCUGGAGUGCAGGAGAGGUAAGUGGAAUUCCUAGUGUAGCGGUGAAAUGCUUAGAUAUUAGGAGGAACACCAGUGGCGAAGGCGGCUUACUGGACUGUAACUGACGUUGAGGCUCGAAAGCGUGGGGAGCAAACAGGAUUAGAUACCCGGGUAGUC